This 2211-nucleotide ribosomal RNA is filed under the name Escherichia coli. RNAcentral describes it as "partial 23S ribosomal RNA". It matches the Rfam family "Bacterial large subunit ribosomal RNA", at positions 1 to 2228 of the family's 2925-position model. Lineage: Bacteria; Pseudomonadati; Pseudomonadota; Gammaproteobacteria; Enterobacterales; Enterobacteriaceae. The record is from RNAcentral.
GGGUUGUGAGGUUAAGCGACUAAGCGUACACGGUGGAUGCCCUGGCAGUCAGAGGCGAUGAAGGACGUGCUAAUCUGCGAUAAGCGUCGGUAAGGUGAUAUGAACCGUUAUAACCGGCGAUUUCCGAAUGGGGAAACCCAGUGUGUUUCGACACACUAUCAUUAACUGAAUCCAUAGGUUAAUGAGGCGAACCGGGGGAACUGAAACAUCUAAGUACCCCGAGGAAAAGAAAUCAACCGAGAUUCCCCCAGUAGCGGCGAGCGAACGGGGAGGAGCCCAGAGCCUGAAUCAGUGUGUGUGUUAGUGGAAGCGUCUGGAAAGGCGCGCGAUACAGGGUGACAGCCCCGUACACAAAAAUGCACAUGCUGUGAGCUCGAUGAGUAGGGCGGGACACGUGGUAUCCUGUCUGAAUAUGGGGGGACCAUCCUCCAAGGCUAAAUACUCCUGACUGACCGAUAGUGAACCAGUACCGUGAGGGAAAGGCGAAAAGAACCCCGGCGAGGGGAGUGAAAAAGAACCUGAAACCGUGUACGUACAAGCAGUGGGAGCCUCUUUUAUGGGGUGACUGCGUACCUUUUGUAUAAUGGGUCAGCGACUUAUAUUCUGUAGCAAGGUUAACCGAAUAGGGGAGCCGAAGGGAAACCGAGUCUUAACUGGGCGUUAAGUUGCAGGGUAUAGACCCGAAACCCGGUGAUCUAGCCAUGGGCAGGUUGAAGGUUGGGUAACACUAACUGGAGGACCGAACCGACUAAUGUUGAAAAAUUAGCGGAUGACUUGUGGCUGGGGGUGAAAGGCCAAUCAAACCGGGAGAUAGCUGGUUCUCCCCGAAAGCUAUUUAGGUAGCGCCUCGUGAAUUCAUCUCCGGGGGUAGAGCACUGUUUCGGCAAGGGGGUCAUCCCGACUUACCAACCCGAUGCAAACUGCGAAUACCGGAGAAUGUUAUCACGGGAGACACACGGCGGGUGCUAACGUCCGUCGUGAAGAGGGAAACAACCCAGACCGCCAGCUAAGGUCCCAAAGUCAUGGUUAAGUGGGAAACGAUGUGGGAAGGCCCAGACAGCCAGGAUGUUGGCUUAGAAGCAGCCAUCAUUUAAAGAAAGCGUAAUAGCUCACUGGUCGAGUCGGCCUGCGCGGAAGAUGUAACGGGGCUAAACCAUGCACCGAAGCUGCGGCAGCGACGCUGAUGCGUUGUUGGGUAGGGGAGCGUUCUGUAAGCCUGUGAAGGUGUGCUGUGAGGCAUGCUGGAGGUAUCAGAAGUGCGAAUGCUGACAUAAGUAACGAUAAAGCGGGUGAAAAGCCCGCUCGCCGGAAGACCAAGGGUUCCUGUCCAACGUUAAUCGGGGCAGGGUGAGUCGACCCCUAAGGCGAGGCCGAAAGGCGUAGUCGAUGGGAAACAGGUUAAUAUUCCUGUACUUGGUGUUACUGCGAAGGGGGGACGGAGAAGGCUAUGUUGGCCGGGCGACGGUUGUCCCGGUUUAAGCGUGUAGGCUGGUUUUCCAGGCAAAUCCGGAAAAUCAAGGCUGAGGCGUGAUGACGAGGCACUACGGUGCUGAAGCAACAAAUGCCCUGCUUCCAGGAAAAGCCUCUAAGCAUCAGGUAACAUCAAAUCGUACCCCAAACCGACACAGGUGGUCAGGUAGAGAAUACCAAGGCGCUUGAGAGAACUCGGGUGAAGGAACUAGGCAAAAUGGUGCCGUAACUUCGGGAGAAGGCACGCUGAUAUGUAGGUGAAGUCCCUCGCGGAUGGAGCUGAAAUCAGUCGAAGAUACCAGCUGGCUGCAACUGUUUAUUAAAAACACAGCACUGUGCAAACACGAAAGUGGACGUAUACGGUGUGACGCCUGCCCGGUGCCGGAAGGUUAAUUGAUGGGGUCAGCGCAAGCGAAGCUCUUGAUCGAAGCCCCGGUAAACGGCGGCCGUAACUAUAACGGUCCUAAGGUAGCGAAAUUCCUUGUCGGGUAAGUUCCGACCUGCACGAAUGGCGUAAUGAUGGCCAGGCUGUCUCCACCCGAGACUCAGUGAAAUUGAACUCGCUGUGAAGAUGCAGUGUACCCGCGGCAAGACGGAAAGACCCCGUGAACCUUUACUAUAGCUUGACACUGAACAUUGAGCCUUGAUGUGUAGGAUAGGUGGGAGGCUUAGAAGUGUGGACGCCAGUCUGCAUGGAGCCGACCUUGAAAUACCACCCUUUAAUGUUUGAUGUUCUAACGU